RNAcentral lists this ribosomal RNA (482 nucleotides) under uncultured bacterium. RNAcentral describes it as "partial 16S ribosomal RNA". It matches the Rfam family "Bacterial small subunit ribosomal RNA", at positions 28 to 507 of the family's 1533-position model. The record is from RNAcentral.
GACGAACGCUGGCGGCGUGCUUAACACAUGCAAGUCGAACGAUGAAGAAGAGAAACGCGAACUUCGGUUCAAAUUUCACUUCGGAUUAGUGGCAGACGGGUGAGUAACGCGUGAGCAACCUACCCCUUACAAAGGGAUAGCCUCGGGAAACCGUGAUUAAUACCAUAUUACACAUUCAUAAGGCAUCUUAAGAAUGUUAAAGCUACGGCGGUAAGAGAUGGGCUCGCGUCCCAUUAGCUAGUUGGUGAGGUAACGGCCCACCAAGGCGACGAUGGGUAACCGGCCUGAGAGGGUGAACGGUCACAUUGGAACUGAGACACGGUCCAAACUCCUACGGGAGGCAGCAGUGGGGAAUAUUGCACAAUGGAGGGAACUCUGAUGCAGCGACGCCGCGUGAGCGAUGAAGGAAUUCGUUUCGUAAAGCUCUGUUCUAUGGGAAGAAAAGGACUGUACCAUAGGAGAAAGCCCCGGCUAAAUACGUG